AGAGUUUGAUCCUGGCUCAGAUUGAACGCUGGCGGCAUGCCUUACACGUGCAAGUCGAACGGUAACAGGUCUUCGGAUGCUGACGAGUGGCGAACGGGUGAGUAAUACAUCGGAACGUGCCUAGUAGUGGGGGAUAACUACUCGAAAGAGUAGCUAAUACCGCAUGAGAUCUACGGAUGAAAGCAGGGGAUCGCAAGACCUUGUGCUACUAGAGCGGCUGAUGGCAGAUUAGGUAGUUGGUGGGAUAAAAGCUUACCAAGCCGACGAUCUGUAGCUGGUCUGAGAGGACGAUCAGCCACACUGGGACUGAGACACGGCCCAGACUCCUACGGGAGGCAGCAGUGGGGAAUUUUGGACAAUGGGCGAAAGCCUGAUCCAGCAAUGCCGCGUGCAGGAUGAAGGCCUUCGGGUUGUAAACUGCUUUUGUACGGAACGAAAAGCUUUGGGUUAAUACCCUGGAGUCACGACGGUACCGUAAGAAUAAGCACCGGCUAACUACGUGCCAGCAGCCGCGGUAAU
RNAcentral lists this ribosomal RNA (519 nucleotides) under uncultured bacterium. Its description in RNAcentral is "bacterial SSU rRNA". It matches the Rfam family "Bacterial small subunit ribosomal RNA", at positions 8 to 524 of the family's 1533-position model. The record is from RNAcentral.